GAUGAACGCUGGCGGCGUGCCUAAUACAUGCAAGUAGAACGCUGAAGGAAGGAGCUUGCUCUUUCCGGAUGAGUUGCGAACGGGUGAGUAACGCGUAGGUAACCUGCCUGGUAGCGGGGGAUAACUAUUGGAAACGAUAGCUAAUACCGCAUAACAGUAGAUGUUGCAUGAUAUCUACUUAAAAGGUGCAAUUGCACCACUACCAGAUGGACCUGCGUUGUAUUAGCUAGUUGGUGAGGUAACGGCUCACCAAGGCGACGAUACAUAGCCGACCUGAGAGGGUGAUCGGCCACGCUGGGACUGAGACACGGCCCAGACUCCUACGGGAGGCAGCAGUAGGGAAUCUUCGGCAAUGGACGGAAGUCUGACCGAGCAACGCCGCGUGAGUGAAGAAGGUUUUCGGAUCGUAAAGCUCUGUUGUAAGAGAAGAACGAGUGUGAGAGUGGAAAGUUCACACUGUGACGGUAUCUUACCAGAAAGGGACGGCUAACUACGUG
This 497-nucleotide ribosomal RNA is filed under the name uncultured bacterium. RNAcentral describes it as "partial 16S ribosomal RNA". It matches the Rfam family "Bacterial small subunit ribosomal RNA", at positions 28 to 507 of the family's 1533-position model. The record is from RNAcentral.